Molecule: long non-coding RNA, 1955 nt
Organism: Passer domesticus (house sparrow)
Lineage: Eukaryota; Metazoa; Chordata; Aves; Passeriformes; Passeridae
Exons: 2
Source: RefSeq, a predicted model, not a curated record
AGGGAGCCUGAAGAACAACAUCUUGUUCCCAGCUGAGCAGUCUUCCCCCACAGCAGGCUGCUGAGAGCCCUGUUGCCAAGGAUGGGGCAUGCACAGCCUCUGUGCACAGCCUGGGCCAGUGCCCCACCACCCCCAGUGGAAAAGAGCAGCUUCCUUAGAUGCAGCUUCAAUCAACCUGCUGCAGUUGAAAGCCAUCCCCCCUUGUCCUGUCAGCACGGGUCCUGCUGAACACUCUGUCCCCUUCUUUCCUGCGGGACCCUUCCAGUCCUGCGCAGCCACAGGGAGGCCUCCCAGUGUCUCCUCUCUCCAGGCUGAGCAUCCCCAGCCCCACUUGCCCAGCAGUCAGUCACAUCAGGGCGAGUCAAGGCUGAAGGGUAGCAAAUAGCAUCGGGAACUGACAGAUGCAAGCUUUAGACCCAGGUUUUUCUGUUUGAAAGGAAGCUUGGCAAAAUGUCCAUUGUCUUCUCCAUUUGUGAAAGACCAAGUGGAGUCUGGGCAGGCUGAUAUGCAGAGCAAAACCUGAAAAUAUACUAGUGAUCCUGAGCCUGGGGGAUGCAGCUAAACCCAGCCAAAAGCAAUUUCUGGAAAGCUGAUACUCGUUUACAUUAUCUUGAGUUUGGCUUUGCCAACUUCACCAGUCAUUUAUGAAAAAGCUAACAAAGAACUCAAACCAAAUCAUACAAAAACCCAAACAAACAAACAAAAAAACAAACCCAUGCAGCAAACCAAUCAAACAAAUAGAUAAAAAAUGCCAAAUAAAACUAAAGGAAAUGAAGAGUUAGUACUAGUUGUGAGGAUAGCACAGCAGGCAAAUGGCUGCUUCCCACAGGAUCACCAUCAAAAGCCACAUAGAACAGCUGCUGCAAAAUAUACCCAACAGGAGAAAAAGAAAAAGUGAUCCAUGGCAACUUUGGGGGCAGCUCCACAUUCAGGUGAAGGAUGAGCACGCAGUGGUACAGAUCCAGCAUUGCCCACCCUCCAGGCUGCUGUUUGCUCCUGAUGAAAGCCCCUUGCAGGACUGUGGCCCCUCUCAGUGCAGUGUCAGUCAUUCCCAGAGCUCUCAACUGAGCCACUGGCAUUUGCAGAGUGACAUCCAGUGGGAUACCCUUUUCGGUUUGUCUCCUAAUGCCACAGGGGUCCUAAACAGUAUAUGCCAUCCCAUUUUUGUUCCGUUGAUAUUGACUGCUUGGUUUUAUUUUGUCAGCAGUUCUAUUCAUUAUGAAUUGGAAUAUGAUGAAGAUACUAAGGAAGUUAGCACCUAUAAUUAGUGCACAUAGCUUAACUGAUGCGGCAGCUCAUUUAAUGCUUGCUAGGAAAGAACUAGAAAGAUUUAAUGAACCAAACUGGUAAAAAAAGAAAUGGGGGAUUUGUAAUAAGUAGUAAUACAUUUGUUCAUUAAUUAAAUCAAUAGCUAAAUAACUAUAUGUUAUAAAACAAUAGUUAAAUAGCCAAAAAAACUUCUUGUGCAGAUACAUAUGGUUGCUGGUUUACUAUAGUGCUUUGGGAAUUCCAUUGUAAAGUUAUGCCUUGUGAAAGGAAAGUAAUGAGAAGCAGCUGUAAUAACAAUCCUUAAACUUGCUAGAAUUGCUUAGCUUGCAGAAAGUGUAUAGUACUAGUAAGAAUUGCUUAGCUUGCAGAAAAGUGUAUAGUGUUCUGUAUAGCUAUGCCUUAUAAGGCAUAAGUUCACUCAGCGUUCACAAAGAGGAAGACUAAGGGGGACUAAGCCUUCAUCCCACGACCACCAGAAGGCAGAAAAAGACCCCCUAGCAACUGAAUGAGCAAGCGCAGAAGACAGAUCACGUCAUCCCUAAACCCGGAGAAGAAGGCAAUAAAAGGUGGACUCAGGGGAUAGGAAUUUUGUGAGCCAAAGUGGAGUGGAGACUCCGGGCCGCCCAGCGCCGUCCUUGCUUAUUCUUGCUUGCAAAAAUAAUAAAGAUAAUUAUUUGAUCCUUAAA